CCUGGUGCCAAUGGCGGGUUGGACCCACGCUCAUCCAUCUCGAACUGAGCGGUGAAACGACCCAGCGGCGACGAUAGUGAUUCCGUAGGGAAUUGUCAAAAUAGCUCGGUGCCAGGU
This 117-nucleotide ribosomal RNA is filed under the name Alkalinema sp. RU_4_3. Lineage: Bacteria; Bacillati; Cyanobacteriota; Cyanophyceae; Leptolyngbyales; Leptolyngbyaceae. The record is from RNAcentral.